CUACGGGGCGCUCCAGUGAGGAAUAUUGCACAAUGGGGGGAACCCUGAUGCAGCAACGCCGCGUGGAGGAUGACGCAUUUCGGUGUGUAAACUCCUUUUAUAUGUCAAGAAAAUGACGGUAGCAUAUGAAUAAGCACCGGCUAACUCCGUGCCAGCAGCCGCGGUAAUACGGAGGGGUGCAAGCGUUACUCGGAAUCACUGGGCGUAAAGGACGCGUAGGCGGGUUGGAAAGUCAGGUGUGAAAUCCUACAGCUUAACUGUAGAACUGCACUUGAAACUUCUAAUCUAGAAUAUGGGAGGGGGAGAUGGAAUUAGUGGUGUAGGGGUAAAAUACGUAGAUAUCACUAGGAAUACCUAAAGCGAAGGCGAUCUCCUGGAACAUUACUGACGCUAAGGCGUGAAAGCGUGGGGAGCAAACAGGAUUAGAUACCCGGGUAGUC
Molecule: ribosomal RNA, 440 nt
Filed under: uncultured bacterium
Lineage: Bacteria
Description: partial 16S ribosomal RNA
Rfam family: Bacterial small subunit ribosomal RNA
Source: RNAcentral